RNAcentral lists this transfer RNA (76 nucleotides) under Podarcis lilfordi (Lilford's wall lizard). Its description in RNAcentral is "tRNA.Ala". The stretch from base 11 to 67 matches the Rfam family "tRNA", at positions 8 to 63 of the family's 71-position model. From Rfam's summary of the family: Transfer RNA (tRNA) molecules are approximately 80 nucleotides in length. Their secondary structure includes four short double-helical elements and three loops (D, anti-codon, and T loops). Lineage: Eukaryota; Metazoa; Chordata; Lepidosauria; Squamata; Lacertidae. The record is from RNAcentral.
GGAAGGACCAUAGCUCAGUGGUAGAGCAUCUGCUUUGCAUGCAGAAUGUCCCAGUUUCAAUCCCCAGCAUCUGCCA